Molecule: ribosomal RNA, 929 nt
Filed under: Staphylococcus epidermidis
Lineage: Bacteria; Bacillati; Bacillota; Bacilli; Caryophanales; Staphylococcaceae
Description: partial 23S ribosomal RNA
Rfam family: Bacterial large subunit ribosomal RNA
Source: RNAcentral
GAUUAAGUUAUUAAGGGCGCACGGUGGAUGCCUUGGCACUAGAAGCCGAUGAAGGACGUUACUAACGACGAUAUGCUUUGGGUAGCUGUAAGUAAGCGUUGAUCCAGAGAUUUCCGAAUGGGGGAACCCAGCAUGAGUUAUGUCAUGUUAUCGACAUGUGAAUUCAUAGCAUGUCAGAAGGCAGACCCGGAGAACUGAAACAUCUUAGUACCCGGAGGAAGAGAAAGAAAAAUCGAUUCCCUGAGUAGCGGCGAGCGAAACGGGAAGAGCCCAAACCAACAAGCUUGCUUGUUGGGGUUGUAGGACACUCUAUACGGAGUUACAAAAGAACAUGUUAGACGAAUCAUCUGGAAAGAUGAAUCAAAGAAGGUAAUAAUCCUGUAGUCGAAAACAUAUUCUCUCUUGAGUGGAUCCUGAGUACGACGGAGCACGUGAAAUUCCGUCGGAAUCUGGGAGGACCAUCUCCUAAGGCUAAAUACUCUCUAGUGACCGAUAGUGAACCAGUACCGUGAGGGAAAGGUGAAAAGUACCCCGGAAGGGGAGUGAAAGAGAACUUGAAACCGUGUGCUUACAAGUAGUCAGAGCCCGUUAAUGGGUGAUGGCGUGCCUUUUGUAGAAUGAACCGGCGAGUUACGAUCUGAUGCAAGGUUAAGCAGCAAAUGUGGAGCCGCAGCGAAAGCGAGUCUGAAUAGGGCGUUGAGUAUUUGGUCGUAGACCCGAAACCAGGUGAUCUACCCUUGGUCAGGUUGAAGUUCAGGUAACACUGAAUGGAGGACCGAACCGACUUACGUUGAAAAGUGAGCGGAUGAACUGAGGGUAGCGGAGAAAUUCCAAUCGAACUUGGAGAUAGCUGGUUCUCUCCGAAAUAGCUUUAGGGCUAGCCUCAAGUGAUGAUUAUUGGAGGUAGAGCACUGUUUGGACGAGGGGCC